RNAcentral lists this transfer-messenger RNA (350 nucleotides) under Candidatus Stahliibacteriota bacterium. It matches the Rfam family "transfer-messenger RNA". Rfam says of the family: Bacterial tmRNA, also known as 10Sa RNA or SsrA, is named for its dual tRNA and mRNA-like properties. Its role is to liberate the mRNA from a stalled ribosome. The record is from RNAcentral. Lineage: Bacteria; Candidatus Stahliibacteriota.
GGGGGCGAAGGGUUUCGACGGAGUGAUGAUGGUGCCGAGGUGCAUGCCGAGGUUCCAGGCCUCCUCGUUAAUCCGACCUGGGACAAACAGUUCCCGAAAUGGGAUACGCCCUGGCCGCCUAACGAUAGGCGACCACGUCUCCAUUGACUUUUCCGAUUCGGUUAGUGGCAGACGGCAUAGAGGAUCGGAUAAGGUUGGUGAUGUCUCUAAGCCGACCCGAAUUCCCAGAGGCUGGCAGCUGUGGAUCCUGUCUCCUGGAGCCAUGGUUGUAAGAUAAAAGGGAGGCUAAGUAUGUAGUGCCCGUCACCUGAACACCCCGGACGCGGGUUCAAUUCCCGCCGCCUCCAAUU